GCCAGUGUGGCAUAGUGGUUUGAGCAUUGGACUACAACUCUAGAGACCAGGGUUCGAUUCCCAGCUCAGCUA
Molecule: non-coding RNA, 72 nt
Organism: Phrynosoma platyrhinos (Desert horned lizard)
Lineage: Eukaryota; Metazoa; Chordata; Lepidosauria; Squamata; Phrynosomatidae
Source: the annotation of a GenBank genome assembly